This 509-nucleotide ribosomal RNA is filed under the name uncultured bacterium. RNAcentral's name for it is "partial 16S ribosomal RNA". It matches the Rfam family "Bacterial small subunit ribosomal RNA", at positions 29 to 507 of the family's 1533-position model. The record is from RNAcentral.
ACGAACGCUGGCGGCGUGCUUAACACUUGCAAGUCGAACGAAGAGCGAUGGAAGCUUGCUUCUAUCAAUCUUAGUGGCGAACGGGUGAGUAACGCGUAAUCAACCUGCCCUUCAGAGGGGGACAACAGUUGGAAACGACUGCUAAUACCGCAUACGAUCUAAUCUCGGCAUCGAGGAUAGAUGAAAGGUGGCCUCUACAUGUAAGCUAUCACUGACGGAGGGGAUUGCGUCUGAUUAGCUAGUUGGAGGGGUAACGGCCCACCAAGGCGAUGAUCAGUAGCCGGUCUGAGAGGAUGAACGGCCACAUUGGGACUGAGACACGGCCCAGACUCCUACGGGAGGCAGCAGUGGGGAAUCUUCCGCAAUAGACGAAAGUCUGACGGAGCAACGCCGCGUGAGUGAUGACGGCCUUCGGGUUGUAAAGCUCUGUUAAUCGGGACGAAAGGCCUUCUUGCGAAUAGUGAGAAGGAUUGACGGUACCGGAAUAGAAAGCCACGGCUAACUACGUG